GAUGAACGCUAGCUACAGGCUUAACACAUGCAAGUCGAGGGGAAACGACAUCGAAAGCUUGCUUUCGAUGGGCGUCGACCGGCGCACGGGUGAGUAACGCGUAUCCAACCUGCCCACCACUUGGGGAUAACCUUGCGAAAGUAAGACUAAUACCCGAUGAUAUCUCUAGAAGACAUCUGAAAGGGAUUAAAGAUUUAUCGGUGAUGGAUGGGGAUGCGUCUGAUUAGCUUGUUGGCGGGGUAACGGCCCACCAAGGCAACGAUCAGUAGGGGUUCUGAGAGGAAGGUCCCCCACAUUGGAACUGAGACACGGUCCAAACUCCUACGGGAGGCAGCAGUGAGGAAUAUUGGUCAAUGGGCGAGAGCCUGAACCAGCCAAGUAGCGUGCAGGACGACGGCCCUAUGGGUUGUAAACUGCUUUUAUAAGGGAAUAAAGUGAGUCUCGUGAGACUUUUUGCAUGUACCUUAUGAAUAAGGACCGGCUAAAUUCCGUG
This 493-nucleotide ribosomal RNA is filed under the name uncultured bacterium. RNAcentral describes it as "bacterial SSU rRNA". It matches the Rfam family "Bacterial small subunit ribosomal RNA", at positions 28 to 507 of the family's 1533-position model. The record is from RNAcentral.